UGGGGAAUAUUGGGCAAUGGGGCGCAAGCCUGACCCAGCAACGCCGCGUGAGGGAAGAAGGCUUUCGGGUUGUAAACCUCCGCCCUUGGUGACGAAGGAAGUGACGGUAGCCAAGGAGGAAGCCCCGGCUAACUACGUGCCAGCAGCCGCGGUAAUACGUAGGGGGGCGAGCGUUGUCCGGAAUUACUGGGCGUAAAGGGUGCGUAGGUGGUCAGAUAAGUUGGAUGUGAAAUACCCGGGCUUAACUUGGGGGGUGCAUCCAAUACUGUUUGACUAGAGUGCAGGAGAGGGAAGCGGAAUUCCUAGUGUAGCGGUGAAAUGCGUAGAUAUUAGGAGGAACACCAGUGGCGAAGGCGGCUUUCUGGACUGUAACUGACACUGAGGCACGAAAGCGUGGGGAGCAAACAGGAUUAGAUACCCUGGUAGU
Molecule: ribosomal RNA, 427 nt
Filed under: uncultured bacterium
Lineage: Bacteria
Description: bacterial SSU rRNA
Rfam family: Bacterial small subunit ribosomal RNA
Source: RNAcentral